AGCAUGUUGGCAGAAUAGUGCCGACGAUUUAGGAUCGUCUCAUGGAUAAAUCCACAUACUAU
Molecule: transfer RNA, 62 nt
Filed under: Dendrobaena pentheri
Lineage: Eukaryota; Metazoa; Annelida; Clitellata; Crassiclitellata; Lumbricidae
Description: tRNA-Leu
Source: RNAcentral